CCUCUCCUGCUGGAUCUGUGCUCAUGUCAGGAGAUUGGCUUUCUGUGAAAAGAUAAAGGAAUGCAAACCUUGUGAUGUAGUUUCCCUGAACUAAUUCUUUUCUUGCCCUUUCUUCCUAUUCCUCCAGCCCUGGGCAGCUGGCUGUUCCCGGUGUUACGGGUUAUAUAGAUGCACCUCAGAAUGAAGCAGCUGAGACUAAGCAGUGCGUGCACUUGCUCUGCACCUUCUCUCUUUUCACCACAGGUUUCAGCAGGUGUUUGCAAUGCCCAGAUCCAUCAGCUUAAACCUGUGCUGGUUCAGCAUUACCAGCAGCAGGGAGAAAGUACGUUUCUUCCCUCUAAGCAGAGGUGGGAUGCCAUUAUGAGGUUCAGGUCUGUCUGCACUUUCCUAGUUCAGAAGUGGAGAUCAGGUCUUCCUGGGGGGAAGGUAUUAUUGAAGGACUUUGACUUGGAUUCUGGAACAAUGGGGCUUUCUGAAUCAGCUGUGAUAAAAAAAGAUGGGGAGGAAAAAAAAAGGCUUGGUUGCAUCUAAACACUGGAAGUCCCUCCAGUGAAAAUGGCAGAUGUCUGCUACAAAGAGCUUGACUGAAGAAUUUUGCAUUACUUAAUUUUUAUUUUAAAACUAUAGAGGAAAAAUAAAGAUUUAAGAUACUGGA
This is a long non-coding RNA of Pezoporus occidentalis (night parrot), 655 nucleotides long. RefSeq lists it as uncharacterized. NCBI's taxonomy places the organism in Eukaryota, Metazoa, Chordata, Aves, Psittaciformes, Psittacidae. The record is from RefSeq and is a predicted model, not a curated record. The transcript is spliced from 3 exons.